RNAcentral lists this ribosomal RNA (571 nucleotides) under Staphylococcus aureus. RNAcentral's name for it is "partial 23S ribosomal RNA". It matches the Rfam family "Bacterial large subunit ribosomal RNA", at positions 819 to 1394 of the family's 2925-position model. Lineage: Bacteria; Bacillati; Bacillota; Bacilli; Caryophanales; Staphylococcaceae. The record is from RNAcentral.
CGGAGAAAUUCCAAUCGAACCUGGAGAUAGCUGGUUCUCUCCGAAAUAGCUUUAGGGCUAGCCUCAAGUGAUGAUUAUUGGAGGUAGAGCACUGUUUGGACGAGGGGCCCCUCUCGGGUUACCGAAUUCAGACAAACUCCGAAUGCCAAUUAAUUUAACUUGGGAGUCAGAACAUGGGUGAUAAGGUCCGUGUUCGAAAGGGAAACAGCCCAGACCACCAGCUAAGGUCCCAAAAUAUAUGUUAAGUGGAAAAGGAUGUGGCGUUGCCCAGACAACUAGGAUGUUGGCUUAGAAGCAGCCAUCAUUUAAAGAGUGCGUAAUAGCUCACUAGUCGAGUGACACUGCGCCGAAAAUGUACCGGGGCUAAACAUAUUACCGAAGCUGUGGAUUGUCCUUUGGACAAUGGUAGGAGAGCGUUCUAAGGGCGUUGAAGCAUGAUCGUAAGGACAUGUGGAGCGCUUAGAAGUGAGAAUGCCGGUGUGAGUAGCGAAAGACGGGUGAGAAUCCCGUCCACCGAUUGACUAAGGUUUCCAGAGGAAGGCUCGUCCGCUCUGGGUUAGUCGGGUCCUAA